CAAUAGCGUAUAUUAAAGUUGUUGCAGUUAAAAAGCUCGUAGUUGGAUUUCUGGUCGGAAGCUCCUGUCCUCUGAUGAGCGUACAAGUGCGUCCUACCAUCCUUCUGUUAACCUUUAAGGCUUUCGCGGCUUUCUAGGGGCUCAGAUAUUUUACCUUGAGAAAAUUAGAGUGUUUCAGGCAGGCUAGCGCCGGAAUACAUUAGCAUGGAAUAAUGGAAUAGGACUUUUGCCUCUUCUGUUGGUCAUGAGGCUCGAGUAAUGAUUAAUAGGGAUAGUUGGGGGCAUUAGUACUUAACUGUCAGGGGUGAAAUUCUCGGAUUUGUUAAAGACUAACUUAUGCGAAAGCAUUUGCCAAGGAUGUUUUCAUUAA
This 370-nucleotide ribosomal RNA is filed under the name uncultured eukaryote. Its description in RNAcentral is "partial 18S ribosomal RNA". It matches the Rfam family "Eukaryotic small subunit ribosomal RNA", at positions 592 to 976 of the family's 1831-position model. The record is from RNAcentral.